GCGGAUCAGCCCGCUCCCGGUAAAACGGGACGGCCCGCCAGAGGACCCCUAAACUCUGUUUCUAUAUGUAACUUCUGAGUAAAACCAUAAAUAAAUCAAAACUUUCAACAACGGAUCUCUUGGUUCUGGCAUCGAUGAAGAACGCAGCAAAAUGCGAUAAGUAAUGUGAAUUGCAGAAUUCAGUGAAUCAUCGAAUCUUUGAACGCACAUUGCGCCCGCCAGUAUUCUGGCGGGCAUGCCUGUUCGAGCGUCAUUUCAACCCUCAAGCACAGCUUGGUGUUGGGACUCGCGUUAAUUCGCGUUCCCCAAAUUGAUUGGCGGUCACGUCGAGCUUCCAUAGCGUAGUAGUAAAACCCUCGUUACUGGUAAUCGUCGCGGCCACGCCGUUAAACCCCAACUUCUGAAUGUUGACCUCGGAUCAGGUAGGAAUACCCGCUGAACUUAAGCAUAUCAAUAAGCGGAGGG
This 465-nucleotide ribosomal RNA is filed under the name Fusarium oxysporum. RNAcentral's name for it is "eukaryotic LSU rRNA". The stretch from base 100 to 253 matches the Rfam family "5.8S ribosomal RNA". The record is from RNAcentral. Lineage: Eukaryota; Fungi; Ascomycota; Sordariomycetes; Hypocreales; Nectriaceae.